GCCUUUCCUCGUUUGAACCUCGCACUUCACUUUUAAGGCUAUGCCAUCCUAAGGUGCUGCUAAAUGGAUGGAUCUUAUCAAUGUCCAUGAAUGAUAAAUCAUAGAUCGAACCGCCGAAUCAAAAAAAUUGGGUGCUAUCAUAAAGCUUUUUAUCGGCUAAGUUUACGUUGAGAUAAGCGGACUCGAACCGCUGACAUCCGCCGCAGGGUAAACCACCGCCUCUCAGGUCCCCCG
RNAcentral lists this long non-coding RNA (234 nucleotides) under Nicotiana benthamiana. RNAcentral describes it as "long non-coding RNA (NBEN_LNC032638)". The record is from RNAcentral. Lineage: Eukaryota; Viridiplantae; Streptophyta; Magnoliopsida; Solanales; Solanaceae.